RNAcentral lists this transfer RNA (20 nucleotides) under Salamandra algira (North African fire salamander). RNAcentral's name for it is "partial tRNA-Ile". Lineage: Eukaryota; Metazoa; Chordata; Amphibia; Caudata; Salamandridae. The record is from RNAcentral.
GUUCAAACCCUCUCAUAUCC